Molecule: ribosomal RNA, 459 nt
Filed under: uncultured bacterium
Lineage: Bacteria
Description: partial 16S ribosomal RNA
Rfam family: Bacterial small subunit ribosomal RNA
Source: RNAcentral
CCUACGGGUGGCAGCAGUGAGGAAUAUUGGUCAAUGGCCGGAAGGCUGAACCAGCCAAGCCGCGUGAAGGACGAAGGUGCCAAGCAUUGUAAACUUCUUUUGUCAAGGGACAAAAUCAGGCUCGAGAGCCUGACCGAGGGUACUUGAAGAAAAAGCAUCGGCUAACUCCGUGCCAGCAGCCGCGGUAAUACGGAGGAUGCGAGCGUUAUCCGGAUUUAUUGGGUUUAAAGGGUGCGUAGGCGGGCUGUUAAGUCAGCGGUAAAAGCCCGGGGCUCAACCCCGGCGAGCCGUUGAAACUGGCUGUCUGGAGUAUCGGAGAGGCAGGCGGAAUUCCUAGUGUAGCGGUGAAAUGCGUAGAUAUUAGGAGGAACACCAGUGGCGAAGGCGGCCUGCUGGACGACAACUGACGGUGAGGCGCGAAAGCGUGGGGAGCAAACAGGAUUAGAUACCCGAGUAGUC